CACGUACUCCCUCCGUCCGGAAAUAUUUGUCAUCAAAAUGAAUAAAAGGGGAUGUAUCUAGAUGUAUUUUAGUUCUAGAUACAUCCCUUUUUGUCCAUUGAUGACAAAUAUUUUCGGACGGAGGGAGUAUGUA
Non-coding RNA from Triticum aestivum (bread wheat), 133 nucleotides. Lineage: Eukaryota; Viridiplantae; Streptophyta; Magnoliopsida; Poales; Poaceae. The record is from Rfam.